RNAcentral lists this ribosomal RNA (468 nucleotides) under uncultured bacterium. RNAcentral's name for it is "partial 16S ribosomal RNA". It matches the Rfam family "Bacterial small subunit ribosomal RNA", at positions 28 to 507 of the family's 1533-position model. The record is from RNAcentral.
GACGAACGCUGGCGGCGUGCUUAACACAUGCAAGUCGAACGGGAAGGCCCUGCUUUUGUGGGGUGCUCGAGUGGCGAACGGGUGAGUAACACGUGAGUAACCUGCCCUUGACUUUGGGAUAACUUCAGGAAACUGGGGCUAAUACCGGAUAGGAGCUCCUGCUGCAUGGUGGGGGUUGGAAAGUUUCGGCGGUCGGGGAUGGACUCGCGGCUUAUCAGCUUGUUGGUGGGGUAGUGGCUUACCAAGGCUUUGACGGGUAGCCGGCCUGAGAGGGUGACCGGCCACAUUGGGACUGAGAUACGGCCCAGACUCCUACGGGAGGCAGCAGUGGGGAAUAUUGCACAAUGGGCGGAAGCCUGAUGCAGCAACGCCGCGUGCGGGAUGACGGCCUUCGGGUUGUAAACCGCUUUCGCCUGUGACGAAGCGUGAGUGACGGUAAUGGGUAAAGAAGCACCGGCUAACUACGUG